RNA transcript from Alligator sinensis (Chinese alligator), 6547 nucleotides. It is a transcript of the gene named semaphorin 6D, with no coding region annotated. The record is from RefSeq and is a predicted model, not a curated record. The transcript is spliced from 20 exons. NCBI's taxonomy places the organism in Eukaryota, Metazoa, Chordata, Crocodylia, Alligatoridae.
GAAAAGUUACAAAAUGGCUGCUAGGACGGAAAGGCACCAGUGGACGAUUUUAAAGGCUGUAGCUUGGAGACGUUAACCUGUUGUUUAAACUGUGAUGAUGAAUUCAGUCAUUACUUGACUGAGAACAUGCUCCUUGAAUCCUGCUCAGUUUCAGUUUGGAGACUACAGCAUACUUUGAAGAAAGGACUUGCUUUAACUCACACUGCCAAAGAGCACAGAAAGGGACAGGCAAUUCUGCUGCGCACUUCACACCUUACUGCAAAAGCCCUUGUAGUUCUACAACGGGAAACGUGAUUUUUGCAGAAUUUUUGCCCAGAGCCUAAUAGUUGCAACAGAUGCUUUCCUCAGUUUGGGUUACAGAUUUAUAUACAUAAUAUAAAAAAACUACGCAGAUUAGAGAGUUUAUUGCUUUAAUCCUGAAGUGUGUGAAGAAAGACAGGUAGCCAGCCGGUGAAAAAAAGUCAUAGCUCUAUUUUAUUCUUAGUUCAUGAGAUUUUUGAAUAAUUUAAACAAAUUGACCUAACAGAAAUAUCUUUCAUUUACAAUCUUUGGUUUUCCUCCUAGGAACUAGUUCUUAUUGCAAGAACUGAGGUGGUCAAGAGGUGUUACCAAAAGGAGAGGCAGAGGGCAGAAAAAAGAAGAGGAGCAAGGGACUCAAGCGAGCAAGUGAGGUAGUUAAAUAGGAUUACCAAGAGGGUGGUGCUGUUUUUCACCAGCCAUGAGGGUCCUCUUGCUUUGUGUCUGCAUGAUGCUAUUGACUGUAUCCCAAUCCCUGGCUGUCAGCUUUCCUGAAGAUGAGGACCCUAUUAAUGUUGUUGACUACCAUUAUUCAAGGCAAUAUCCAGUAUUUAGAGGACGCCCUUCAGGCAAUGAAUCUCAACACAGGCUGGACUUUCAACUGAUGUUGAAGAUUCGAGACACACUUUAUAUCGCUGGCAGAGAUCAAGUUUAUACUGUAAACUUAAAUGAAGUUCCAAAAGCAGAAGUUACUCCAAGCAAGAAAUUGACAUGGAGAUCCAGGCAGCAGGACAGAGAGAACUGUGCCAUGAAAGGCAAACACAAAGAUGAAUGCCAUAACUUUAUUAAAGUCUUUGUUCCCAGGAAUGAUGAGAUGGUGUUUGUCUGUGGAACAAAUGCAUUUAAUCCUAUGUGCAGAUACUAUCGGCUGAAUACCUUAGAGUAUGACGGAGAGGAAAUUAGCGGUUUGGCAAGGUGCCCAUUCGACGCCAGACAAACCAACGUUGCCCUCUUUGCUGAUGGAAAAUUGUAUUCAGCUACAGUAGCAGAUUUUCUGGCAAGUGAUGCUGUUAUUUAUCGCAGCAUGGGAGAUGGAUCUGCCCUCAGAACAAUAAAAUAUGACUCUAAGUGGAUAAAAGAGCCACAUUUCCUGCAUGCCAUAGAAUAUGGGAACUACGUUUAUUUCUUCUUUCGAGAAAUUGCUGUAGAGCAUAACAAUUUAGGCAAGGCUGUGUAUUCUCGUGUAGCACGCAUAUGCAAAAAUGACAUGGGUGGUUCCCAGCGAGUCCUGGAGAAACACUGGACUUCAUUUCUAAAAGCUCGGCUCAACUGUUCUGUUCCUGGGGAUUCUUUUUUCUACUUUGAUGUUCUGCAGUCUAUCACAGACAUAAUAGAAAUCAAUGGAGUCCCUACUGUUGUCGGUGUAUUCACCACACAGCUUAACAGCAUCCCCGGUUCAGCGGUAUGUGCUUUCAGCAUGGAUGACAUUGAGAAAGUCUUCAAAGGGAGAUUUAAAGAACAAAAGACUCCAGACUCUGUUUGGACAGCUGUACCUGAAGACAAAGUACCAAAGCCAAGACCUGGCUGCUGUGCAAAACAUGGCCUAGCAGAAGCUUACAAAACCUCCAUUGAUUUCCCAGACGAAACCCUAUCCUUCAUCAAAUCCCAUCCUUUGAUGGAUUCUGCCAUUCCCUCUAUCAUUGAAGAGCCCUGGUUCACAAAGACCCGGGUCAGGUAUAGGCUGACAGCAAUUGCAGUAGACCAUUCUGCUGGACCCUAUCAGAAUUACACAGUCCUUUUUGUUGGCUCUGAAGCUGGAGUAGUACUUAAAAUCUUGGCAAAGACCAGGCCUUUUUCUUUGAAUGACAGCGUAUUACUGGAAGAGAUUGAAGCUUACAAUCAUGCAAAGUGUCAUGCAGAGAGUGAAGAGGACAGAAAAGUCAUUUCCCUUCAGCUGGAUAAAGAACACCAUGCUGUAUUUGUGGCCUUCUCUAGCUGCGUUAUCAGAAUACCCCUCAGUCGUUGUGAGCGUCAUGGAUCAUGUAAAAAGUCUUGUAUUGCUUCCCGAGAUCCAUACUGUGGCUGGCUAGACCAUGGGACAUGUGGAAGAGUGAAACCUGGCAUGUUGUUCUCUUUGUUUGUUUCAUACAACCACAGCACUGGAGGAUAUGAGCAAGAUGUAGAAUUUGGCAAUACAGGACAGCUUGGGGACUGCCAUGAAAUUUUGCCUACUACAACUACACCAGAUUACAAAAUAUUUGGCGACCCAACAUCUGACAUGGAGUUCUCUUCAGCUUCCAUUACUACAAUGGCAAGUAUCCCAGUUAUAUCACCUAAAGUGAUUGGUUCCUGGAAACCUAAAGUGACUGGCUCUCGGAAAUUUGUAGUUCAAGAUGACCCAAACACUUCUGAUUAUUCUGAUCCAUUAUCAGGUGUCCCAAAGGGUGUAAGGUGGGAAGUGCAGUCAGGAGAGUCCAACCAAAUGGUACACAUGAAUGUUCUGAUCACUUGCGUCUUUGCUGCUUUUGUCCUGGGAGCCUUUAUUGCAGGAGUGGCUGUUUACUGUUACCGAGAUAUAUUUGUACGGAAAUCCAGAAAAAUACACAAGGAUGCUGAAUCGGCUCAGUCCUGUACAGACUCCAGUGGCAGUUUCGCUAAGCUGAAUGGGUUGUUUGACAGUCCUGUCAAGGAAUAUCAGCAAAAUAUUGAUUCGCCCAAACUGUAUACAAAUCUGUUGACUAGCAGAAAAGAAUUGCCACCAAACGGUGAUACAAAGUCCAUGAUAAUGGACCACAGAGGACAGCCUCCAGAAUUAGCUGCACUUCCGACUCCUGAAUCCACACCAGUACUUCAACAAAAGACACUGCAAGCUAUGAAAAGUCAGUCAGAGAAGACACAUAACAAUCUGAAUGCUUCAAGAAAAGAAACCCCUCUAAAAAGCCCUCAGUUUUUCCCUUCCAGUCCCCCACCUCAUUCUCCUUUAAGUCAUGGGCAUAUUCCUAGUGCUAUUGUUCUUCCCAAUGCUACCCAUGACUACAACACCUCUUUCUCAAAUUCCAAUGCACAUAAAGCAGACAAAAAGAUGCAAAACAUUGAUCACCCUCUCACUAAACCAUCAAGCAAAAGAGACCACAGGCGAUCUGUUGAUUCCAGAAACACCCUGAAUGAUUUUCUUAAACAUUUAAAUGAAACUACUAGUAAUCCCAAAGCAAUUAUGGGAGACAUUCAAGUGGCUCACCAGACUUUAAUGCUGGAUUCAAUGGGAAAUAUGUCUGAAAUUCCCCCUAAAGUUCCUAACAGGGAGGCAUCUUUAUACUCUCCUCCAUCUACUCUUCCCAGAAAUAGUCCAACGAAACGGGUGGAUGUCCCAACCACCCCAGGAGUACCAAUGACCUCUUUAGAAAGACAGAGGGGCUAUCACAAAAAUUCUUCACAAAGACAUUCAAUAUCUGCACUCCCUAAAAACUUAAACUCACCAAACGGUGUUUUGUUAUCCAGACAGCCUAGUAUUAAUCGUGGGGGGUAUAUGCCAUCUGCCACUGGCACAAAGAUGGACUACAUUCAAGGGACGCCAGUCAGCGUUCAUUUACAACCUUCUUUAUCGAGGCAGAGCAGUUAUACAAGCAACGGAACCCUUCCUCGUACAGGGAUAAAGAGGACACCAUCCAUAAAACCCGACGUACCACCAAAACCUUCAUUUGUUCCUCAAACGACUUCAGUCAGACCACUGAACAAAUACAGCUACUAGGGCUUGUGUAUUCUGUUAGAGUGUGGUAUCAGCCUACCCUGGCUGUGAGACGAUGUUGUGGGAGACUUAUAAGACAGAGACUUGCUUGUAAUUAAAGAGAACAAAGUGGCCAAAGAAACUGUCUUCACUUCAGCAACAUCUGUGUCUUGCCACACGUAGCUACUGCAAGACAUAACGUACUUGCUAAAAAAACAAACAGAAAAACAAAAGAAAGUGCUGGUCAUUACAUUUCUUUUGUUUGGAGCUAAGGAGACAUGUAGCACAACGGGGGUGGGGGCUACUUUACCGUUCUAAAUAGUGAUAAUGUACUUGGAGAAAUCUGUAAGCAAAUACUUGAAAAAUGGGUUCCAUUUUAGACUGCCAUUGUGUGGUCUUCCCAUUAAAUGUGAACAUUUUGAUAUGUAUGCAUUCACCUUGCCUCUUGCACAAAUGUCAGAAAAUGGUAAUGUCUCAAUGGAUAUCUGGGUAAAUAAGUGAUUUGCUGGAAUUCAGUCUCUGGCCCAACUGUAGCAUUCUAUUUUCCCCCCAUGCGUGGCACUUGGUUUAUGCCACAGAUAAAGCUGUGCGUGCACGUGUAUGUGAGUGUGUACCGUACACACUAGGAUGUAUUUAGAUUCCCACUGCAUCUUUUAUGCUAUGGAAUUGUUUACACUGAGCAUGACUGAACAACCAACGACUCUUCCUUCUGCAGUCCAUUGGGUUCAGUUUGGAGACAGCUAGGAAGGAACUGUGCAUCUCAGCCACCUUCCAAAGGAUAUAUACAUUGUUGAAUUAGUAACACAGUGAAAGGGUGCAAAUCUGUUAAUUCUAAAUAACUGUAUUAUGCUGCUAUUGAUUCAGAUCUGUACAUUUCAAAUCUAGUGUUUUGGGGUGGAAUGGGGGACUCUGACUGUAUUUCUACAGUUCCCCCAUCCAGUAUCUGGCCACUGUGAAUUUGAGCCCCUGUCGUUCUCAUUGUGGGCAGCUAGUAAUCAAGAACACACUAGGCAAAGCCUAUCUAAUGAUAAACCGUUAUACUUUUUUUGUUGCAUUUAAUAACGUCCUACACUCUGAUAGGCUUUUGUCUGUAGAGAGGAAGAAACAUUAAUUGGCCUGGGAGAAGCAGUCUGUGAAAACUCAACAGUAGUGCAAUCAAUAUGUUUAUGUUGUGUAAUGUAUGGAUUUUCUCCAAAGUCAUGCAGGUAAUGACAAUAUUCUGUAAAUAUUAUGUGUGAGUUUACCUGAAUCUGUGCAUUUUGUGCCUUAUUCAUGCAAAUGAUAAAAGUACUAAAAUUCUGUCAAGUGCACAUCAUAUUUCCUGAGUGCCAGUUGUAAAUUCUCUCAACAAGCACCCAAAAAAAAAGAUAAAGCAGGAAUAAUUAAUGGUAAAUAAAGGCAGCCUACAAUCCAAAAAGACAGCAGCAUUAAAUCACCUUCCCAUGAUAAACAUUCCACUCCAGUUCUCCUAAGGAUCAAACAGUUAUAAUGUGAAAUCAAAUGAGGUUUCUAGGGUAAUGGAACACCUGCUGAAGUUGUGUAAGCCAUUUAGUAGGUUUUACAGUAUCUACUUGCAGCUGAUGUUCACCACAGAUGGCUAUUUUAGCUUGCAAACUACACACUACCACAUUGUUUACUGAACAUAACUGUAGAAAUAACCACAGCAAAGGAAUAUUCAUGAAUUAGGGGACAAAUAACUUCAACUGGUUUCUGAGACAAUGGCGAUUUAUAUUACAUGUUAGAGGGGAGAGAGAGUUAGUCUCUGAAAACUGGAUUGCUAUUACUGAACAAAUAAUAAAGGAUAGACUUAUUCUCCCCCCUCACCCCACUUUAAGGCUGUUCUUGGUAAGGAAUUUUGAGACCUCUGAAUCCAAAAAAAAACCCCCCUCAUCUCUUCUUAAAUGCUUCAGUCUUGAAACUAAAACACUACAGAUUAAUAACUAUUAAAAAUACUCAUUUGUCAAGUGACAAGAAACCGAUUUAAAUUCAUUUUACAAAUAUUAAUACAGACUUGUGUGAAACCGAACCAUAAAUGUAUGUGAACCCUGAUAACUUUCUGUAACAUUGUGCUGCCUUGUAGAUGGUAAUGUGAGUUCUAUCAGUAUUUAUGUUGAAAUUUCUAACAUUCAACCUAGUCUUUAUUCUGUUAAUUUAAUAAUACAGAUGCUUUAUCCAUUUGUGCAAAGGUAAACACAGAUUGUAUCUUUUUUAAUGGUACGGCAUAAAAAGUAACCCUUAAACAAAGCUGCUCUAUACUAUAGAGUACUUUAACAUGUAUAGAUAUCUUGUAAACUUGUAUUGUGGAUGUGUAAAUAAUACGUUCUUUGGGUUUUUAACACCGCAUGUAAAGUCGAAAUAAAAUAUUCAGUGUACCAGAUGUCUAACUUUAUUGUUAUUGAACAUAUUUAUAUAAUGUAUUGUUUGUCUGAUUACAGUGAAGGAAGCAUUCUGCUUGCUUUUAACAGCUCCAUUAAGAAACCACAGAGACAUCCCCUGAUCAGCAUUACUGGGUAUCAUGCAGCUUGCAAAUGGCUGAUAGCAUGGCAUACAGUCACCACCAUCAUCUUUUGUGAACUUUUUUCCUCA